GGUCCACACUCGCUCUUGGUACUGCGUACCGGACUAUAUACGGAUUGGUGAGGCUACGACCGGCGACGUCCCGGCUCUACCAAACAUCUGGCAUGUUUGUGAAUCCGAUCCACACAUGUCCCCAUUCUCGUCGUUUGGAAGGUUGAAUGACGAUAUCUCGGAACAUGGCAGCUACUGGCGACUCGAUCGACGCUCGACCUGUGGUUGAACUCUUUAGGGUGAGAAAGGGAAACCCCUCUGAGAUGGAAUCUGAGGUUCCGAUCUGAUGUUACCGUUCUUCCCGCCAGCUUAACGCUUUGCUUCUGAUAUCCCCAAUUCACCGGAAUAUCGGCCGGAUGCGUGGACUACUCCCCCUUCGAGGCUCAUCCUCUUUUCUCCAGGGCUGAUUUUCAUUAUUUCUUACCCCUUUAUCAGUCGAAUCACGUCCUGGAGAGGCCUCGCCACAUUUUACCACUUCCCUGGCUGGAAGAGAAGGUAGGCAGGAAUCGGAUGCAGGAAUCCUACAAACCGUUUACAUUCAUUUGGUUAUUUUUGGGCUGGGUGGGAAAACUCCGAAGCUGGGCUUUGGAGUGCUUUUUAUUUUGAUAUACCUCCUGUUAAUUUUGUUUGUUAGUGAUUCCCACCCAGCCACAUAGUCGAUAUAGUAUCUAGUAUAUUGUUGUUCGAUAACUAGUUUAGUUGACCCCCCUUGUUUGAAAUAUAAUAUUUUGGACGGGA
Molecule: small RNA, 717 nt
Filed under: Histoplasma capsulatum
Lineage: Eukaryota; Fungi; Ascomycota; Eurotiomycetes; Onygenales; Ajellomycetaceae
Also listed under: 1 other name
Description: hypothetical RNA
Source: RNAcentral